GGUAACGGCUCACCAUGGCGAUGAUGUCUAGGGGUUCUGAGAGGAAGGCCCCCCACACUGGGACUGAGACACGGCCCAGACUCCUACGGGAGGCAGCAGUGAGGAAUAUUGGACAAUGGAUGGAAAUCUGAUCCAGCCAUGCCGCGUGCAGGAAGACGGCCCUAUGGGUUGUAAACUGCUUUUAUACGGGAGCAAUAAGGUCUACGUGUAGACUGAUGAGAGUACCGUAUGAAUAAGCAUCGGCUAACUCCGUGCCAGCAGCCGCGGUAAUACGGAGGAUGCGAGCGUUAUCCGGAUUUAUUGGGUUUAAAGGGUGCGUAGGCGGCCUUGUAAGUCAGCGGUGAAAUUUUGCAGCUUAACUGUAAAAGUGCCGUUGAUACUGUGAGGCUAGGAUUUGGUUGCUGUGGGUGGAAUGUGUGGUGUAGCGGUGAAAUGCUUAGAGAUCACACAGAAUAUCGAUUGCGAAGGCAGCUCACAAAGCCAAGAUUGACGCUGAGGCACGAAAGUGUGGGGAUCAAACAGGAUUAGAUACCCUGGUAGUCCACACUGUAAACGAUGAUAACUCGCUGUCGGCGAUAUACAGUCGGUGGCCAAGCGAAAGCGAUA
This 606-nucleotide ribosomal RNA is filed under the name uncultured bacterium. RNAcentral's name for it is "bacterial SSU rRNA". It matches the Rfam family "Bacterial small subunit ribosomal RNA", at positions 256 to 862 of the family's 1533-position model. The record is from RNAcentral.